GCCUCGGUAGCGCAGUAGGUAGUGCGUCAGUCUCAUAAUCUGAAGGUCGAGAGUUCGAUCCCCACCCGGGGCA
Molecule: transfer RNA, 73 nt
Filed under: Stegodyphus dumicola
Lineage: Eukaryota; Metazoa; Arthropoda; Arachnida; Araneae; Eresidae
Description: tRNA-Met
Rfam family: tRNA
About the family: Transfer RNA (tRNA) molecules are approximately 80 nucleotides in length.
Source: RNAcentral